Molecule: ribosomal RNA, 253 nt
Filed under: uncultured bacterium
Lineage: Bacteria
Description: partial 16S ribosomal RNA
Rfam family: Bacterial small subunit ribosomal RNA
Source: RNAcentral
UACGUAGGGUGCGAGCGUUGUCCGGAAUUAUUGGGCGUAAAGCGCGUGUAGGCGGCUCGGUAAGUCUGCUGUGAAAGUCCAGGGCUCAACCCUGGGAUGCCGGUGGAUACUGUCGAGCUCGAGUCCGGAAGAGGCGAGUGGAAUUCCUGGUGUAGCGGUGAAAUGCGCAGAUAUCAGGAGGAACACCUAUUGCGAAGGCAGCUCGCUGGGACGUAACUGACGCUGAGACGCGAAAGCGUGGGGAGCAAACAGG